GGUGACGGCGUGCUUUUUGUAGAACGAUCCAGCGAGUUAAUUUUUACGGCGAGGUUAAGUCAGAUGAUGAAGCCAUAGUGAAAGCGAGCAUUAACAGUGCGAUUUAGUCGUAAGGAUUAGACCCGAAACCAGGUGACCUAACCAUGAGCAGGUUGAAGCAACCUUAAUCGGUUGUGGAGGACCGAACCAGUGUAUAUUGCAAAAUGCUUGGAUGACUUGUGGUUAGCGGUGAAAUGCCAAUCGAACUUGGAGAUAGCUGGUUCUCCGCGAAAUAGUUAUAGGACUAGCGUCGUGUGAUAGCUUACGGGGGUAGAGCUCUGUCAAGAGAUAGGGGGAGCAAUCCUACCUACUCUUAAUAAACUACGAAUACCGUAUGUCUGUAUCACGGCAGUUAGAACGUCGGUGCUAAGAUCGGCGCUCAAAAGGGAAACAGCCCAGACCAUCAUCUAAGGUCCCCAAAUUUACGCUAAGUGGGAAACAAGGUGGAAUUUCUUAAACAGCUAGGAUGUUGGCUUAGAAGCAGCCAUUCAUUUAAAGAGUGCGUAACAGCUCACUAGUCAAGAGAUUCUGCGUGGAAGAUAUAACGGGGCUAAGCGUAAUACCGAAGAUAUGGAUUGCAAUUUAUUGCAGUGGUAGCGGAGCGUUCCUAUCGGCAGUGAAGCCGGACUGUUAAGUACCGGUGGAGCGUUAGGAAGUGAGAAUGCUGGAACGAGUAACCAUAAGACAGGUGAGAAUCCUGUCGGCCGAAAGAGCGAGGUUUCCUGGGCUAUGGUAAUCAUCCCAGGGUUAGUCGGGCCUAAGCCGAGGCGUUUAGCGUAGGCGAUGGACAUCAGGUUAAUAUUCCUGAACUAGUCAAACUUUGUAUGCAGUUAGCGAUGAGAUAGGUGGAGCGGAUUCAUGGUUUAUCCGUUCAAGUGAUAGAGGAAUCUUGAUCGAGUAAAAGUGAACCUACGGGUUUACGAUUCCGCUGAAGGCAUUGACCAGAAAAGCUGGCAUACGCAUGGGUUUGGCUACCCGUACCGCAAACCGACACAGGUGCUCGAGUCGAGGAGACUAAGGCUUACGAGAGAAUGAUUGCUAAGGAACUCGGCAACACAGCGACCGUAACUUCGGAAUAAGGUCUGCCUACAUUUGUAGGCCGCAGCUAAAGAGCCCACGGAACUGUUUAUCAAAAACUCAGGUCUCUGCUAACACGAAAGUGGAUGUAUAGGGGCUGAAACCUGCCCGGUGCCGGAAGGUUAAGGGGAUUGCUUCACGGUGAGAACUGAAGCCCCGGUGAACGGCGGCGGUAACUAUAACCGUCCUAAGGUAGCGAAAUUCCUUGUCAGGUAAGUUCUGACCCGCACGAAUGGUUAAAUCAUGUGGGCACUGUCUCAGCAAUUAUCUCGGUGAAAAUGCAUUGGCGGUAAAGAUGCCGUCUGUCCGCACCAGGACGAAAAGACCCCGUGGAGCUUCACUACAGCUUUACAUUGUUGUGGGUUCUAACUUGUGUAGUAUAGGUGGGAGACUUUGAAGCAGAUACGCUAGUAUUUGUGGAGUCAUCAGUGAAAUACCACCCCCGUUAGGAUCUGCAUCUAACCUGUGCCGUUAUCCGGUAUAGGGACCGUGUAUGGUUGGUAGUUUAACUGGGGCGGUUGCCUCCUAAAGAGUAGCGGAGGCGUUCAAAGGUUGGCUAGCUACGGAUGGAAAUCGUAGUGGUAGUGUAUACGCAUAAGCCAGCUUGACUGUGAGGAGUACAUUCCGAUCAGAUGCGAAAGCAGGAGUAAGUGAUCCGCUGGACGAACCAUUGGUUCAUGAAUGUGGGAUUGCCAGCGCAAACGGACAAAAGUUACCCCGGGGAUAACAGGCUGAUAGCGCCCAAUAGUUCACAUAGACGGCGCUGUUUGGCACCUCGAUGUCGGCUCAUCACAUCCUGGGGCUGGAGCAGGUCCCAAGGGUCCGGCUGUUCGCCGGUUAAAGUGGUACGCGAGCUGGGUUCAGAACGUCGCGAGACAGUUCGGUUUAUAUCCGGUGUGGACGUCAGGAAACUUGCGAGGAUUUGCCCCUAGUACGAGAGGACCGGGGUGAACGCACCUCUGGUGUAUCGGUUGUGACCACCUGUCGCAUUGCCGAGUAGCUAUGUGCGGAGCAGAUAAGCGCUGAAAGCAUAUUAAGCGCGAAACUGACCUCAAGAUUAGGUUUCCCUAUGAGGACACUAAUAGACGAUUAGUUUGAUAGGCACAAGGUGGAAGCACAGUAAUGUGUGGAGCUGAAGUGUACUAAUAGUCCCACUGCCUUUUUAUG
Molecule: ribosomal RNA, 2283 nt
Filed under: human oral metagenome
Description: bacterial LSU rRNA
Rfam family: Bacterial large subunit ribosomal RNA
Source: RNAcentral